UAAAAACAUAACUUAAAAACUCAUAAAUCAUACCAGAACUCCAUUUUUUCCGAAACCAUUUGACAUCGAAUUCUGUUUUCCCACACACACAUGUUUCCACCCCCAGCAGGUUUCCUGCAGCCGGGCAGUCUCGCCACCCUAUCAGCUAGGAACCAGUUCCUUUUUACGGUUAUCUUAGCUUAUGUCACAAGUGUUCAUUUCCGCCUAUUUUCUGAAAGUCGCAUUUAAAAAAGAGCAAGGAGCUUCGUCGUCCUCAAUUCAAUCACAAUACUCGAUCAAGAGUUGGCUUAUAUUGCUUCCUUAGAAGAACUAGUCGAUUCUCUACGAUGCAACAUUUUAAAGUAUUGUUAGUUCUGUUGUUUGUGGCUGCUGUUAGCGUUUCUCUCACCCAGGCGUGGACCAUGAACAAUAAGAAAGUUGGAAAACGUGAUAGCAAGGAGCCUGCCCGAGAGGAAAACCGGCUAAGAAUGCAUGAUGGGGCGGCAAGGCUGAAAGCAAGACGAUUCCACGUUGAAGAAUGGAACAGGGCUUAAAACUAUAAAUGAAGUUGUAAAGGAAACGUAAAUUAAACAAAGUUACUGGUCGCAA
This is a long non-coding RNA of Orbicella faveolata, 588 nucleotides long. The record is from RefSeq and is a predicted model, not a curated record. Lineage: Eukaryota; Metazoa; Cnidaria; Anthozoa; Scleractinia; Merulinidae.